This 460-nucleotide ribosomal RNA is filed under the name uncultured bacterium. RNAcentral describes it as "partial 16S ribosomal RNA". It matches the Rfam family "Bacterial small subunit ribosomal RNA", at positions 338 to 795 of the family's 1533-position model. The record is from RNAcentral.
CCUACGGGAGGCAGCAGUGAGGAAUAUUGGUCAAUGGGCGCGAGCCUGAACCAGCCAAGUAGCGUGAGGGAUGACUGCCCUACGGGUUGUAAACUUCUUUUAUAAGGGAGUAAAGUGAGGCACGUGUACCUUUUUGUGAGUACUUUAAGAAUAAGGAUCGGCUAACUCCGUGCCAGCAGCCGCGGUAAUACGGAGGAUCCGAGCGUUAUCCGGAUUUAUUGGGUUUAAAGGGAGCGUAGAUGGGUGGUUAAGUCAGUUGUGAAAGUUUGCGGCUCAACCGUAAAAUUGCGAUUGAUACUGGCAGUCUUGAGUACAGUUGAGGUAGGCGGAAUUCGUGGUGUAGCGGUGAAAUGCUUAGAUAUCACGAAGAACUCCGAUUGCGAAGGCAGCAUACUAAACUGCCACUGACAUUGAUGCUCGAAAGUGUGGGUAUCAAACAGGAUUAGAUACCCUUGUAGUC